RNAcentral lists this unclassified non-coding RNA (519 nucleotides) under uncultured Glomus. RNAcentral's name for it is "SSU rRNA". It matches the Rfam family "Eukaryotic small subunit ribosomal RNA", at positions 569 to 1093 of the family's 1831-position model. The record is from RNAcentral. Lineage: Eukaryota; Fungi; Glomeromycota; Glomeromycetes; Glomerales; Glomeraceae.
AGCAGCCGCGGUAAUUCCAGCUCCAAUAGCGUAUAUUAAAGUCGUUGCAGUUAAAAGCUCGUAGUUGAAUUUCGGGAUCAGUACGCCGGUCGUGCCUUCGGUAUGCACUGGUGUCACUGGUUUCUCCCUUCUGAAGAACCAUCAUGCCAUUAAGUUGGUGUGGCGGGAAAUCAGGACUGUUACUUUGAAAAAUUAGAGUGUUUAAAGCAGGCUCGCGCUUGAAUACAUUAGCAUGGAAUAAUGAAAUAGGACGUUUGACCCUAUUUUGUUGGUUUCUAGGAUCGACGUAAUGAUUAAUAGGGAUAGUUGGGGGCAUUAGUAUUCAAUUGUCAGAGGUGAAAUUCUUGGAUUUAUUGAAGACUAACUACUGCGAAAGCAUUUGCCAAGGAUGUUUUCAUUAAUCAAGAACGAAAGUUAGGGAUCGAAGACGAUCAGAUACCGUCGUAGUCUUAACCAUAAACUAUGCCGACUAGGGAUCGGAUGGUGUUAAUUUUUAAUGACUCAUUCGGCGCCUUAACC